This 389-nucleotide ribosomal RNA is filed under the name Pristimantis zeuctotylus (Sipaliwini robber frog). RNAcentral describes it as "partial large subunit ribosomal RNA". It matches the Rfam family "Bacterial large subunit ribosomal RNA", at positions 1834 to 2457 of the family's 2925-position model. Lineage: Eukaryota; Metazoa; Chordata; Amphibia; Anura; Strabomantidae. The record is from RNAcentral. RNAcentral also lists the same sequence under 1 other name.
CUUGAUAACAUAAGAGGUCCAGCCUGCCCAGUGACUCAAUUUAACGGCCGCGGUAUCCUAACCGUGCAAAGGUAGCGUAAUCACUUGUCUUCUAAAUAAAGACUAGUAUGAAAGGCACCACGAGAACUAAACUGUCUCCUUUUUCUAAUCAGUGAACCUAAUCUCCCUGUGAAAAAGCAGGGAUUUAAUAAUAAGACGAGAAGACCCUAUGGAGCUUUAAACACAUAACACUGCCCUUUUACACCACAAUGUUCCCAUGCACAAUGAUUAAGAGUUUUUAGUUGGGGUGACUACGGAGUAAACCCACCCUCCGCGAUGAAUCUUAAACAAGCGACAGCUUUACACAUCAGCAAACUGACACCAUUGACCCAAUUUAUUGAUCAACGAAC